This 812-nucleotide ribosomal RNA is filed under the name uncultured bacterium. RNAcentral's name for it is "bacterial SSU rRNA". It matches the Rfam family "Bacterial small subunit ribosomal RNA", at positions 636 to 1447 of the family's 1533-position model. The record is from RNAcentral.
UNUGACUUGAGUGCAGAAGGGGAGAGUGGAAUUCCAUGUGUAGCGGUGAAAUGCGUAGAUAUAUGGAGGANCACCAGUGGCGAAAGCGGCUCUCUGGUCUGUCACUGACGCUGAGGCUCGAAAGCGUGGGUAGCGAACAGGAUUAGAUACCCUGGUAGUNCACGCCGUAAACGAUGAGUGCUAGGUGUUAGGCCCUUUCCGGGGCUUAGUGCCGGAGCUAACGCAAUAAGCACUCCGCCUGGGGAGUACGACCGCAAGGUUGAAACUCAAAGGAAUUGACGGGGGCCCGCACAAGCGGUGGAGCAUGUGGUUUAAUUCGAAGCAACGCGAAGAACCUUACCAGGUCUUGACAUCCCGAUGCUAUUCUUAGAGAUAGGAAGUUACUUCGGUACAUCGGAGACAGGUGGUGCAUGGUUGUCGUCAGCUCGUGUCGUGAGAUGUUGGGUUAAGUCCCGCAACGAGCGCAACCCUUAUUGUUAGUUGCCAUCAUUAAGUUGGGCACUCUAGCGAGACUGCCGGUAAUAAACCGGAGGAAGGUGGGGAUGACGUCAAAUCAUCAUGCCCCUUAUGACCUGGGCUACACACGUGCUACAAUGGUCGGUACAACGAGUUGCGAGCCGGUGACGGCAAGCUAAUCUCUGAAAGCCGAUCUCAGUUCGGAUUGGAGGCUGCAACUCGCCUCCAUGAAGUCGGAAUCGCUAGUAAUCGCGGAUCAGCACGCCGCGGUGAAUACGUUCCCGGGCCUUGUACACACCGCCCGUCACACCACGAGAGUUUGUAACACCCGAAGUCGGUGAGGUANCCUUUUAGGG